This 483-nucleotide ribosomal RNA is filed under the name uncultured bacterium. RNAcentral's name for it is "partial 16S ribosomal RNA". It matches the Rfam family "Bacterial small subunit ribosomal RNA", at positions 28 to 506 of the family's 1533-position model. The record is from RNAcentral.
AUUGAACGCUGGCGGCAUGCUUUACACAUGCAAGUCGAACGGCAGCGCGGGCUUCGGCCUGGCGGCGAGUGGCGAACGGGUGAGUAAUGCAUCGGAACGUGCCCAGUAGUGGGGGAUAGCCCGGCGAAAGCCGGAUUAAUACCGCAUACGACCUGAGGGUGAAAGCGGGGGACCGAAAGGCCUCGCGCUAUUGGAGCGGCCGAUGUCGGAUUAGCUAGUUGGUGGGGUAAAGGCUUACGAAGGCGACGAUCCGUAGCUGGUCUGAGAGGACGACCAGCCACACUGGGACUGAGACACGGCCCAGACUCCUACGGGAGGCAGCAGUGGGGAAUUUUGGACAAUGGGGGCAACCCUGAUCCAGCCAUGCCGCGUGCGGGAAGAAGGCCUUCGGGUUGUAAACCGCUUUUGUUCGGGAAGAAAUCCUCUGGGCUAAUACCCCGGGGGGAUGACGGUACCGGAAGAAUAAGCACCGGCUAACUACGU